AUUCCAGCUCCAGUAGCGUAUAUUAAUGUUGUUGCAGUUAAAAAGCUCGUAGUUGGAUUUCUGACUUGACGCGCCUGGCCCGCCUUGCAUUUCGCGGGUGAGUGCCGGAGCGCGUCGGUCAUCCUUCUAGAGAGCGGCGCUACCCUUCACUGGGUCGGCGUCGCAAUCUAGAUCUUUUACUUUGAAAAAAUUAGAGUGUUCAAGGCAGGCUCGCGCUGUGAAUACAUUAGCAUGGAAUAAUAAUCUAGGACUUUGUUCCUAUUUUGUUGGUUUCUAGGAAUUAAGUAAUGAUUGAUAGGGAUAGUUGGGGGUGCUAGUAUUCAGCGGCCAGAGGUGAAAUUCUUGGAUUCGCUGAAGACUAACUUAUGCGAAAGCAUUCACCAAGGAUGUCUUCAUUA
This 398-nucleotide ribosomal RNA is filed under the name Imbricatea sp. RNAcentral describes it as "partial small subunit ribosomal RNA". It matches the Rfam family "Eukaryotic small subunit ribosomal RNA", at positions 582 to 975 of the family's 1831-position model. The record is from RNAcentral. Lineage: Eukaryota; Cercozoa; Imbricatea.